RNAcentral lists this ribosomal RNA (720 nucleotides) under uncultured bacterium. RNAcentral's name for it is "bacterial SSU rRNA". It matches the Rfam family "Bacterial small subunit ribosomal RNA", at positions 32 to 770 of the family's 1533-position model. The record is from RNAcentral.
AACGCUGGCGGCGUGCCUAAUACAUGCAAGUCGAACGAGAAAGUACCUUCGGGUGCGAGUACAGUGGCGCACGGGUGAGGAAUAAAUAGGUAACUUGCCCUCUGGCGGGGAACAACCUGGGGAAACUCAGGCUAAUACCGCAUAAGACCACAGGAUCCGCGGAUCUAGGGGUUAAAGAUUUAUCACCAGAGGAUAGGCCUAUUUCUGAUUAGCUUGAUGGUGGGGUAAUGGCCUACCAUGGUUACGAUCAGUAGCUGGUCUGAGAGGAUGAUCAGCCACACUGGAACUGAGACACGGUCCAGACUCCUACGGGAGGCAGCAGUAGGGAAUAUUGCACAAUGGAGGAAACUCUGAUGCAGCAACGCCGCGUGUGUGAUGAAGGCUCUAGGGUCGUAAAGCACUGUCGUGAGGGAAGAUAAUGACGGUACCUCACAAGAAAGGACCGGCUAACUUCGUGCCAGCAGCCGCGGUAAUACGAGGGGUCCUAGCGUUGUUCGGAAUCAUUGGGCGUAAAGCGGGUGUAGGCUGAUUGGUCAGUCAGAUGUGAAAUCCCUGGGCUCAACCCAGGACGUGCAUUUGAUACUGCCAAUCUUGAGUAUCGAAGAGGUUCGUGGAAUUCCUGGUGUAGUGGUGAAAUACGUAGAUAUCAGGAGGAACAUCGGUGGGGAAGCCGGCGGACUGGUCGAAUACUGACGCUCAGACCCGAAAGCGUGGGGAUCA